UCCAGGGUAACCUAGUGGACAUAGCAUCUUCCCGGUAAGCGGAAAAAUGUGGGUUCGAUUCCCAUCCCUGGAU
This 73-nucleotide transfer RNA is filed under the name Cordylochernes scorpioides. RNAcentral describes it as "tRNA-Thr". It matches the Rfam family "tRNA". Rfam says of the family: Transfer RNA (tRNA) molecules are approximately 80 nucleotides in length. Their secondary structure includes four short double-helical elements and three loops (D, anti-codon, and T loops). The record is from RNAcentral. Lineage: Eukaryota; Metazoa; Arthropoda; Arachnida; Pseudoscorpiones; Chernetidae.